RNAcentral lists this ribosomal RNA (253 nucleotides) under uncultured bacterium. RNAcentral's name for it is "partial 16S ribosomal RNA". It matches the Rfam family "Bacterial small subunit ribosomal RNA", at positions 524 to 776 of the family's 1533-position model. The record is from RNAcentral.
UACGUAGGUGGCAAGCGUUGUCCGGAAUUAUUGGGCGUAAAGCGCGCGCAGGCGGUCCUUUAAGUCUGAUGUGAAAGCCCACGGCUCAACCGUGGAGGGUCAUUGGAAACUGGGGGACUUGAGUGCAGAAGAGGAAAGCGGAAUUCCACGUGUAGCGGUGAAAUGCGUAGAGAUGUGGAGGAACACCAGUGGCGAAGGCGGUUACCUGGAGCUUUGCUGACGCUGAUGCGCGAAAGCGUGGGGAGCGAUCCAG